CCUAAGUCAGUGGCACGUUUUUAACAGCUGCCUCCUUCCCGCUUGUCCCCCACAGGCUGGUGCUGGUACAAAUGGCCCCUUUCUAUCUGCCUGGUCCCCACCCACCAGUCCAAGGGCCAUCUCCCUGUGGGGACAGGAGACCCAGGACUCCCACCCUGGGGGCCACCACCAGGCUGGCUAUCCUCAUGCCAUCAUCUCAGGAUAAGUCUGAGUCCCUCCCUCUUUUUCCGUCCAAGACUGACAGUAGGUCCUCAGGAUGGUUUGAUGGAAGGAUCAAGGGUGAGACGCCCUUUGCAGCCUCAGGGGACCACUGGAAACUGCGCCCCUGCUGGAAACUCAAGACAAUUUCUGCUCAUCCAGCAGCUGACUGGUUGGUUUCCCCAAACCCUUGGCCCAGCAGCAGCUCCAGCCCCUCAGGACUCUGGGUUAGCCCUGGGGUACACAUUUCCCACAUUUGCAGGUCUGACAUACAGGACACACAGACAGUCUUUAUCAGGCUUUCCACUGUCUGCUGUCCUCGCUGUUGGCCAUUUCUUGGUGACAGUCUGCAGGCCCUUGGGGUACUCAUUUCUUCCUCCUUCUCUGCCUCCUCUGAGGUCUCCUCUCCACUCUGGGAGUUGUUUGACUUGCUUUCUUGCUUUCUGGGUCCUCUUGGUGGGCAGUGGGUGGCAGGUGUGUAGGAGGAUGCUUCAGGGCCUUAGGAGUCACCUGGUCAUGCUCCCUGAGUUUACUGAUGAGGAAACAGAUUCAGAGAGGAGGGGCAGGUCCCCUGGGACACACAGCGAGUGAGUGAUGGAACCAGGACUGGAGUCCAGGUCCUCUGGCUCUUGUUGUACACAGUGCCCAUUGCGGGCCUCUGGAGGGGAUGUGGAGCAGAAUGCUCAUGGGAAAUUUGCUAGAGAAGAUGAAUUUUGAGUUGGAUCUUAGAGGAUGGAACAGUUUUGAACUGGAGGGUCUGUCUGGGGGCACUACUGGGGAAGGGACAGAUGGGCUGGGGGCCAGUUCACUGAGAUGCUCAGGAGAACAUUUCCAAGAUCCCUCCCAGGCUGGUAUCCUUGGGCAAACCCCACACCCUCUCUGAGCCUGCAUCCUUUCCCAUAAAACAAGGAAAACCACACCUGCUCUGUAGGUCCUAUUAAUGAGCAUAGUAUUAAUUACAGUUGACAUUUAUGGGGUGUUUACCUUGUGCCAGGCGCUGGGCCAAGUGGGCACCUGACAUAUAUUAUCUCAUACAAUUCUCACAGCAAACCCACGCCUGACCUCACAGCAAGCUCUGAAUGAAUGCUUUAAGAAGGAUAGAAGUCACUUAGUGUAAUUUCAGGCACAUAACCACCAUUUGGUAAAUGGCAUCAACAAUGACAAGUAAGAAUGACAAUACUUGGUCCCUUCCUGUGGCCUUAUUUUCUAAUUUUUCCUCCUCUAGAGCAGCCUGCUAAGAAUCUGUUUUUGGAAGCAGCUGUCCUGGAAUCUUCCUCCUCCAGGAAGACUUCCUGGACCAGCGUGGAAUCUGUGGCUCUCCCUGGCCUUUCUACCCUGAAUUUCUGUCCUAUUUGUGUCCAUCUUGGUGAUUUAGAGUGUGGGCCCGGGUCCCUGUUCCCCAGUCUGAAAGGUCCCACAGUUUCCUCAGGGCAGAUGGCAGGGGCGGGGCGGGG
Molecule: long non-coding RNA, 1652 nt
Organism: Capra hircus (goat)
Lineage: Eukaryota; Metazoa; Chordata; Mammalia; Artiodactyla; Bovidae
Source: Ensembl